UGUAUCGUCUCAAAUCCAGUAUUUUAUGUUGGAAAAGUUCUCUGAUAUCCCACUGAACGAAGGCACCGCCAAACUCAGUGUGUAAACCAAAUCGAGUCGAAUCUCUUUUUUCAUUCAUGGAGUGAAAGUAUUUUGCAUACAGUCCCCUUGAAAAGCAUUUUGAACAUGUCAGGGAUUUCCAAGCAUUUUCUGAUUUCGAUGGACUCAACCUGCUUUCUUCUUUGUCUAAUUUCUAAGCAUUUUCUUUACCCCAGAUCGAAUCCAAUCUCAUUUUCCUUAUUCCUUUUUCUUUGAACCGACUGGCGCUUCUCUAAUUUCAAAGCGUUUUCUUUGUUACUUCGUGUAAAAGACUGAACCCGCCUGUACUAUCAUCUAUUUAAUUGAUUUAACCUUGCUCUUUCACAGAGACGCAUCCUCUGCAACCAAACCCUACUCGUACUCUCCUUUUUUAUUCUUAAGUUUUUGCAAAGGGUUAGCGUUUGAACUGGAAUCAAUGGAGUCUUCCUCAUCAUCUCACUGGCAAAAUCAGGGAUUUAAUGCUUUCUCUCGAACAGAACCUGACGGCAACCACAGAGGCCCUGAUGUCAAGCAAACUAUUGCUACUCAGCUUUACAACUCCCUUAAGAAGGUGGGUAUACGAGCAGUUCUUGAUUCAGAAGAGAAGGAACUUGGAGAUUCGUUUCCUUCUACCAUUGAGACUGCGAUUAAAUCUGCUUCAGUGCAUAUUGCCAUUUUUUCAAAAAGAUAUGAAGAGUCAGCUUGGUGUCUGGCUGAGCUGGUUCUUAUGCUACAAAGUAAGGCCAAGAUUAUGAAAAUGAGGAGAGGUACUGGGAGAAGCUGCCAAAGUGGAAGGAAGCACUUCAAUCUCUUUCAUUUGUGGCCGGGGAAGAAUUUAACGGACUGUGGAAACAUAAUAGCAGCAGUACAAAGAAAAACAUGUUUACAUGUUGCCACAUAUCCGGUAGGGCUUUACAAUCUUGUGGAAGAUUUUGAAAGGCGAUGCCUUGAUGAACUUGUACAAGAUUUUGAAAACGAGAUGCCUUGAUGAACUUGUACAAGAUUUUGAAAACGAGUGUCGGCUUGAAGAAGGAAAGCAUAGGGCUAAGGUUUUGGCAUUUUUUUUUUCAUGGGUGGUUCGGGGAAGACAACUCUUGCCAAAGAAUUCUUUAAUCGAAAGAGUUCGAAUUACUGUAGGGCAAGCUUUUGUUUGAUGUGCGAGAAGCCUAUGGGAGAAGCCAAUUGCGUUCUUUGCAAUUUCAGCUUCUCAAUGAUCUCUUCCAAGAUGAUCAUAUUGGCCUAACAAGUACAGAGAUAGGAACAAGCUAUCUCAAAGAUCGUGUGCAAAGGAGUCCCGUUUUAAGCUUCCUAAUUGUUGUAGAUGACAUUGAUCAUGUGGAGCAAUUAAAUGCUCUAAUGGUCAUGGAGAUAUGUUAAAAAAAUCUGGUAAUACUUUGGUUAUUGUUACAACACGUGAUGUUGGGGUCCUUAUAUCUGCAGGGAUUACUGCUGGUUAUAAUUUAAAAGGAAUGGAUAGAAAAUGGGAGAGAACUCUUCUGUUGGCAUGCAUUUGGCCAACCCAAUUCAUUUAGUGGCUAUGAAGUGCUUGACACCUUCGUUGAUGUGUGUGGAGGGUUGCCUCUAUCUCUUCAGGUUCUAGGUCGGCACGUUCAUGGCAGGCCUCUCAGUUUUUUGAGGUCAGCAUUGAUUGAAGCCAAUAAGACCCUGCCACGAGAAGUAAAGCAGACGCUGAGAAUAAGUUUUGAUGCAUUAAAUGGUGAAGAAAAACAAGUUUUUAUGGAUAUUGCUUGUUUUUUCAUUGGCAAGCCAAAGACCAUAGCCGAAAGAGUAUGGGAGGGUUCAGGAUGGAAGAAUGCUCAAUAUGUACAGGAAAGGCUCAAGGAUAAGUGCCUAGUAGAAGAAAUAGAAAUUUUGAGUCUGAAUGUACAUGAGGAAUUUGUUUUGAGAAUGCAUGACCACUUAAGGUAUUUGGGAAGAGAAAUGGCACUCGAGCUUUUAGGCCUCCUCAUCGCUUUUGCCAUCCCAAAGAUCUGAAACAUUUGGAAUCAACGGGUUUCAAAAGUAUCCUAGGCAAAACCCAUGUCAGGUGUUUCCAUUCCAUUUUUGACCAGUCCAUGAGUUGUCGAGUUACAUUCUUCUUAGGUCAACCGAAUUUUUCUGCUGAGACGUUUCCUUACUAAGGCCCGAACUUCAGGGCAAUUCCACAGAACAACCAUGCAUUCCUUCAUGGAUUUCUCUCCAAAAUGUGCAAUGUUUGAAAAUCAAACGCGAACGAGUCAAAACAUUGUGGGAGAAUCGCAUACAGGCAUCCUCCCAGUUGAAGGAACUGCAGAUUUCUCAAUCCCUUUUGGAGAAGAUUCCAGAUUUUCAGGGUUAUCAGACAAUUUUGAAAAUGUGGUCUUAGAUGCACGAGGAUGGCCAAUUCAAGGUUUAUCUUUACUAGAAUCUCUCAGUAUGAAUUUUUAUAGCAUAUGUGUCAGGUCUUCCACAUUAAAAGGGGAACAGGCUUCCACUAAAAUAGAAGGGAGGACUAGUGAAUCUUUGGUUAUCGCGAAUUUCAAAUUUAGUGGGGAAGUGGCAUGGAACAACAGAGGAAUGUCUAGCAGUGUUAGAGCUCCUAUGGGUGGCCUUGAAAAACUAGAGAUUAGUGGUGAAGAAUUCGUAUCCAAGAUCUUAAUUAGUGGAAUUCACUAUCCAAACCUCGAGUCUAUCAAACUUCAUUGCAUGAAAUUUUUUAGGGAAGUGGACUUAGUAGUAAGUAUAAAGACAUUAAUCUCUUGAUAAUACAAAUUGUAAACAUUUGAAAAUUUUGUCAGGAAUAUCAAAUCUUGCAAAUCUUGAGAUGUUGAAUAUUAUUCAAUGCCUACAGCUUGAGAAGCUAAGCCUUGGCCAUCUGAGCUGUCUGGAAAGGAUCACAAUUGUAGAUAAUAAGCAUUUGAAAAUUGUGUCAGAAGUUUAGAUCUCAGGAAUCUUGUCAAAUUGAAUGUUUGUGACUUUUUCAGUAGUGUGACAGGAGGAAACGGUUUUAUGACUAUUUGUGAAUGUCCGGAGCUAGAGGAGUUGCCAAGUUUUUCCAGCUCGAGCUGCUUGCAGAAAUUUGGCAUUGCAUCUUAUGGAAAGUUACAGAACAUUAUUCUGCCAACAAAAUUUAUCAAGCUGUCUGUAAAAAAUUGUAGAAAUUUGCAGAGAGCAGUAGGCAACAGUUAUCUUACAGAGUUUAACAGAAUUGUACAUUAAUGAGUGUCCUGAGCUUGAGGAGUUGCCAAGUUUUUGCAGCUCGAGCUGCUUACAGAAUAUUGACAUUGCGUCUUUUGGAAAGUUUCAGAACAUUAUACUGCCAACAAAACUCAUCAAGCUGUCUGUACAAAGUUGCAGAGAUUUGCAAAGAGUAGUAGGAACCGGCGAUCUUACAGAGCUAACAGAGUUGUACAUUAAUGAGUGCUCUGAACUUGAGGAGUUGCCAAGUUUUUUCUGCUUGAACUGCUUGCAGGAAAUUUUCAUCCUCUCUUGUGGGAGUUACAGAGCAUUAUACUGCUAACAAAACUCAUCAAGUUGUCUGUUAAAAACUGCAGGAAUUUGCAAAGAUCUUACAAAGCUAAAGGGGUUGUACAUUACUAAGUGUCCUGAGCUUGAGAAGCUACCAAGCUUUUCCAGCCUGUGCUACAUGGAGGAUAUGUGCAUUAGAUCUUGUGGAAAGUUACAGAACAUCAUGGUGCCAACAACACUCAUCAACUUAUUUGUAGAAAGUUGCACAGGUUUGCAAAAAGUAUCAGGAAUCAGUGAUCUUACAAAGCUUAGAAGCUUGGACAUUAAGGAUUGUCCUAAGCUUGAAGAGUUCCCGAGUCUUUCCAGAGUUAGCCGCUUGAGGAAAAUUGAGUUUGACUCUUCUGAGAAGUCGAAGAACAUGGUAGGCAUUGAAGAAUUGCAUUCACUAGAUUGUCUCAAAGUUUGUUAUUGCAGCAAUGCAGUAAUACAAAAUUGCAUUGAUAAGUUGAAGGUAAUGAUAUGGAUACUCCUUUUUAACAGGCAGUCGUAAAUCUAAUUCUGAAGUGAGUUUUUCUAAUUUGUUUUUGUUUGUCAUUUGUUCUGACAUGAUAGUCUUUAUUAUCAGAAGUGAUCUGUAAGUGAGAAGAAUUUACCGUGGAUGAUGUUUGAACUGAGAGUAUUUUGUCUUUUAUUUCAGAGUGUGCGGUUGCAACAGUGAGUUGUGAUUGAAAGAGUAGUGGAUGGAGCGGACUAAAGCUUAAAUGAAUAUCUGCUAUGUUAUUGGCACUAAUGCAGUCAUUGACAUUGUUGCUGAAAACGCUGAUGAUAAUGUAUUGAGUGCAAUUAUUAUAUGUUGUGUGCUUGUUGAUAGCUCUGCCUCGGUAAAGGAUAUAAAUAAAUCACUUGUGCCGUUAAAACUGUAUUACCAAGAGUUAAAACUGCGUGAAGGAGAAAUGGAUAAUAACAAUGGUGGGAAAUUUUUCCUUAUAUCGUUAUAAUACCAGGAAAAUUUCAGAUGUUUUGAGGAGUUACGGAAUAAUAAAGAAUUGGUAUCGGGUAGAGGCGAUGAAAGGUGAAGAGUGGAAAACUUUGCAAUUGUUAAAUACAAUUGUUGACAGAUUCCAUCAUUCAUGACUGGAAUGCAUUUAGAUGUUUCUUAUUGUUUAUUAUGGUGUGAACAAUUUUAUUGAAGAGAAAAAUAAUUUGACCUCUUAAAUUAUAGUAUUCAA
This is an RNA transcript of Cryptomeria japonica (Japanese cedar), 4733 nucleotides long. It is a transcript of the gene named TMV resistance protein N, with no coding region annotated. The record is from RefSeq and is a predicted model, not a curated record. Lineage: Eukaryota; Viridiplantae; Streptophyta; Pinopsida; Cupressales; Cupressaceae. The transcript is spliced from 4 exons.